This 484-nucleotide ribosomal RNA is filed under the name uncultured bacterium. RNAcentral describes it as "bacterial SSU rRNA". It matches the Rfam family "Bacterial small subunit ribosomal RNA", at positions 28 to 507 of the family's 1533-position model. The record is from RNAcentral.
GACGAACGCUGGCGGCGUGCCUAACACAUGCAAGUCGAGCGGAGUCGAUCGACGGAAGCCUUCGGGCGGAAGAUGGUUGACUUAGCGGCGGAUGGGUGAGUAACGCGUGGGCAACCUGCCUCGAAGACCGGGAUAACAGCCCGAAAGGGCUGCUAAUACCGGAUGUGGUCAAGGAUCCGCAUGGAUUUUUGAUUAAAGGGGAAACCCGUUUCGAGAUGGGCCCGCGUCCUAUCAGCUAGUUGGUGAGGUAAAAGCUCACCAAGGCGACGACGGGUAGCCGGCCUGAGAGGGUGACCGGCCACACUGGAACUGAGACACGGUCCAGACUCCUACGGGGGCAGCAGUGGGGAAUCUUCCACAAUGGGCGAAAAGCCUGAUGGAGCGACGCCGCGUGAGCGAAGAAGGCCUUCGGGUUGUAAAGCUCUGUCUGGAGGGACGAAGGAAGUGACGGUACCUCCGGAGGAAGCCAACGGCUAACUACGUG